Molecule: long non-coding RNA, 390 nt
Filed under: Lathyrus oleraceus (garden pea)
Lineage: Eukaryota; Viridiplantae; Streptophyta; Magnoliopsida; Fabales; Fabaceae
Description: Pisum sativum (pea) long non-coding RNA (PSAT_LNC004470)
Source: RNAcentral
UUCAUAAUGACAGAGAAUGGCCUCUAAAUUUUCUGUUUUGAUGAGUACAAGGCAUGGCUAAAGUGCAAGUAUGGAUGGCAUGGUGUAAUUGUACUUUUAUCCAAAUUUCAAGCAAGUUGAAGAAUGGCUUCAUGUACUGCAUAAUUGAGCUUGCAAACACAUUCUAAAUGACAUUUAUGAGCUGUUCCAAUUGGCCAAAUGUUGAAAAAAUGUUUAAAUCAAAAAGUCAACUCUUGGUCAAACUUACAUUUAAAUGAAAAAGGUCAAAAUAUGCCAUUUUGAUUGGUGAAGUUUUGGCUCAUGAAAUUUAUAUUUUUGGAAAGAGGGGAUCAAAUGUGACUUGUAGGAAAAAACCCCACCAAAAUUGGCCAAACGGUUUGAGAGAUAUGG